UCAGGAUGAACGCUGGCGGCGUGCCUAACACAUGCAAGUCGAACGGAGAAUUUACGCUGAUGAAGCUUCGGCAGAUUCUUGUAAAUUCUUAGUGGCGGACGGGUGAGUAACGCGUGGGCAACCUGCCUCAUACUGGGGGAUAACAGCUGGAAACGACUGUUAAUACCGCAUAAGCGCACGGUAUCGCAUGAUACAGUGUGAAAAACUCCGGUGGUAUGAGAUGGGCCCGCGUCAGAUUAGCCAGUUGGCAGGGUAACGGCCUACCAAAGCGACGAUCUGUAGCCGGCCUGAGAGGGCGGACGGCCACAUUGGGACUGAGACACGGCCCAAACUCCUACGGGAGGCAGCAGUGGGGGAUAUUGCACAAUGGAGGAAACUCUGAUGCAGCGACGCCGCGUGAGUGAAGAAGUAUUUCGGUAUGUAAAGCUCUAUCAGCAGGGAAGAAAGACUCGUAAGAGAGAUGACGGUACCUGACUAAGAAGCCCCGGCUAACUACGUGCCAGCAGCCGCGGUAAUACGUAGGGGGCAAGCGUUAUCCGGAUUUACUGGGUGUAAAGGGAGCGCAGACGGUCAAGCAAGUCUGAAGUGAAACCCCACGGCUCAACCGUGGGCUUGCUUUGGAAACUGUUUGACUAGAGUACUGGAGAGGUAAGCGGAAUUCCUAGUGUAGCGGUGAAAUGCGUAGAUAUUAGGAGGAACAUCGGUGGCGAAGGCGGCUUACUGGACAGC
Molecule: ribosomal RNA, 729 nt
Filed under: Butyrivibrio sp. RM70
Lineage: Bacteria; Bacillati; Bacillota; Clostridia; Lachnospirales; Lachnospiraceae
Description: bacterial SSU rRNA
Rfam family: Bacterial small subunit ribosomal RNA
Source: RNAcentral